UACGUAGGGGGCAAGCGUUGUCCGGAUUUAUUGGGCGUAAAGAGCGUGUAGGCGGCUUGGUAGGUCCGCUGUGAAAACUCGAGGCUCAACCUCGAGAUGUCGGCGGAAACCACUUGGCUAGAGUCCGGAAGAGGAGAGUGGAAUUCCCGGUGUAGCGGUGAAAUGCGCAGAUAUCGGGAAGAACACCCGUGGCUAAGGCGGCUCUCUAGUACGGUACUGACGCUGAGACGCGAAAGCGUGGGGAGCGAACAGG
Molecule: ribosomal RNA, 253 nt
Filed under: uncultured bacterium
Lineage: Bacteria
Description: partial 16S ribosomal RNA
Rfam family: Bacterial small subunit ribosomal RNA
Source: RNAcentral